This 465-nucleotide ribosomal RNA is filed under the name uncultured bacterium. RNAcentral's name for it is "partial 16S ribosomal RNA". It matches the Rfam family "Bacterial small subunit ribosomal RNA", at positions 338 to 795 of the family's 1533-position model. The record is from RNAcentral.
CCUACGGGUGGCAGCAGUGGGGAAUAUUGCACAAUGGGCGAAAGCCUGACGCAGCGACGCCGCGUGAGGGAUGAAGGUCUUCGGAUCGUAACCCUCUGUCAGCGGGGAAGAACGGUCACUGUGCUAAUCAUCCGUUAAUUGACGUUACCUGCAGAGGAAGCACCGGCUAACUCCGUGCCAGCAGCCGCGGUAAUACGGAGGGUGCGAGCGUUAAUCGGAAUUACUGGGCGUAAGGCGCUCGUAGGCGGUAUGUCAAGUCAAGGGUGAAAUCCCCGCGCUCAACGUGGGAACUGCCUUUGAAACUGGCAAACGUGAGUGUGGGAGAGGAUAGUGGAAUUCCAGGUGUAGGAGUGAAAUCCGUAGAGAUCUGGAGGAAUAUCAGUGGCGAAGGCGACUAUCUGGCAGAGAACUGACGCUGAGGAGCGAAAGCGUGGGUAGCAAACAGGAUUAGAUACCCGGGUAGUC